GAUGCCUUAGUACGGCGAGUGAAGCGGCAAAAGCUCAAAUUUGAAAUCUGGUACCUUCGGUGCCCGAGUUGUAAUUUGGAGAGGGCAACUUUGGGGCCGUUCCUUGUCUAUGUUCCUUGGAACAGGACGUCAUAGAGGGUGAGAAUCCCGUGUGGCGAGGAGUGCGGUUCUUUGUAAAGUGCCUUCGAAGAGUCGAGUUGUUUGGGAAUGCAGCUCUAAGUGGGUGGUAAAUUCCAUCUAAAGCUAAAUAUUGGCGAGAGACCGAUAGCGAACAAGUACAGUGAUGGAAAGAUGAAAAGAACUUUGAAAAGAGAGUGAAAAAGUACGUGAAAUUGUUGAAAGGGAAGGGCAUUUGAUCAGACAUGGUGUUUUGUGCCCUCUGCUCCUUGUGGGUAGGGGAAUCUCGCAUUUCACUGGGCCAGCAUCAGUUUUGGUGGCAGGAUAAAUCCAUAGGAAUGUAGCUUGCCUCGGUAAGUAUUAUAGCCUGUGGGAAUACUGCCAGCUGGGACUGAGGA
Molecule: ribosomal RNA, 515 nt
Filed under: Saccharomyces cerevisiae (brewer's yeast)
Lineage: Eukaryota; Fungi; Ascomycota; Saccharomycetes; Saccharomycetales; Saccharomycetaceae
Description: eukaryotic LSU rRNA
Rfam family: Eukaryotic large subunit ribosomal RNA
Source: RNAcentral